Long non-coding RNA from Harpia harpyja (harpy eagle), 1202 nucleotides. RefSeq lists it as uncharacterized. The record is from RefSeq and is a predicted model, not a curated record. NCBI's taxonomy places the organism in Eukaryota, Metazoa, Chordata, Aves, Accipitriformes, Accipitridae. The transcript is spliced from 3 exons.
UGUACCCCAACUAUGUCGGGUGACUAUGAGUCAAGAAGAUCAGUACCAUCUCCUACCAUUGUUUAUAUAUGUCACCCUUACCACAAGGAACGAGUUUCCUUGUUGGGGGCAAGUUUGGAUAUAGAGUAUCCUGAUCAGAAGAGUUCUUCAGAUGAAAAGCCUUGAACGCCUUGCUGAAAUAUGAAUUAGAGAGACCAGAGAGAUGGUUUUAUUUUUGAAAUGCUGACACCAGCUUAGCUGCAGCAUUGUCAACAGGGAAUGCUAGUACAGAGAGACUUAAAUGAUGCUGUCAUGUUGAUUAUAAAUCAAUCACAAUCAGAUGUCCCUGCAGAAGUGACCAAUAUACAGAGGAGACAGCCUGGCUUUCUUCAAGCAAGUCAAUAAGGAAUGAACAUGCUUUACCUCCAAGACAGACUAAAUGAAAGCAAGAGAAAUAAAGUUUUAAACUGAAUUUUGGAUACACCUAUGCACUCUUGGGAGAAACAUGGCUUUCAGUGUUUCAGUGUUGUCUCCCCGACAAUCCUUUUAGCUUUGACCAUAGGCCUUGUAUUUGGGCUCAUAAAAAAAGGGGUGCACCUUUGUUUACUCUGUGUAAAUAAAACUCCUCUGUGUGGUUUACACCCCAUCCUUCCCAGGUUGGUUCCUUCAGAUAAAGUUUUCUAUACAGUCCAGUUUGGGUAUUUGAAAAGAUGAAGCUUUGUCUUUUCCUUAAAGAACAAAAAAUAUUUGCAUUUUUUUCUGAAACAAAUAAUCUGUUUUCCCUUUGCCUGCUGCACCUUUCUUGGUUUAGCUGCUUAUCAGAAGAAAUGGAGAGGUCUCAGAUAUGAAUUCUUAACAAUCUACAUCAAGGAAAUGAGACAGAAACUUUAAUAAAAAACUCUUACAUGUUCAUUCAGUAUUUAACUACAGUACAUGCCAAUGCAAUGAAAUAAUUUAACUAAAAUAUCUAAUUUUUUGUAAUGUUUCUCUUGUUCUCUCACCGUGGGCGGAUGGAGGGGAGAGGGGUAGAACAGAUACAACCUGAAUUCCUAUUGUAAAAAUAAGCAGAAUAAAAUUUUCUUUUGACAAAAAAAUCAUAAAUAAGAACAAAGGGCACAGUUCAUUUUCCUCCCUCGAACCCCUCUCUGAAGGUCAGUUCUGAUUCUCCUGUAUCCCAGUGACAGAUGACAAUAGAUAAUACUUUAAAUUACCUUUUCUUCCUC